AUGAACGCUGGCGGCGUGCCUAAUACAUGCAAGUCGAGCGAACAGACGAGGAGCUUGCUCCUCUGACGUUAGCGGCGGACGGGUGAGUAACACGUGGAUAACCUACCUAUAAGACUGGGAUAACUUCGGGAAACCGGAGCUAAUACCGGAUAAUAUAUUGAACCGCAUGGUUCAAUAGUGAAAGACGGUUUUGCUGUCACUUAUAGAUGGAUCCGCGCCGCAUUAGCUAGUUGGUAAGGUAACGGCUUACCAAGGCGACGAUGCGUAGCCGACCUGAGAGGGUGAUUGGCCACACUGGAACUGAGACACGGUCCAGACUCCUACGGGAGGCAGCAGUAGGGAAUCUUCCGCAAUGGGCGAAAGCCUGACGGAGCAACGCCGCGUGAGUGAUGAAGGUCUUCGGAUCGUAAAACUCUGUUAUUAGGGAAGAACAAAUGUGUAAGUAACUAUGCACGUCUUGACGGUACCUAAUCAGAAAGCCACGGCUAACUACGUG
RNAcentral lists this ribosomal RNA (496 nucleotides) under uncultured bacterium. Its description in RNAcentral is "partial 16S ribosomal RNA". It matches the Rfam family "Bacterial small subunit ribosomal RNA", at positions 29 to 507 of the family's 1533-position model. The record is from RNAcentral.